Molecule: transfer RNA, 66 nt
Filed under: Scolia bicincta
Lineage: Eukaryota; Metazoa; Arthropoda; Insecta; Hymenoptera; Scoliidae
Description: tRNA-Met
Source: RNAcentral
AUAUAAGUAUGCUAAAUCUAAGCUUUUAAAUUCAUAAUUUAAAUAUAGAAUAAUUUCUCUUAUAUA